Molecule: long non-coding RNA, 397 nt
Filed under: Nicotiana benthamiana
Lineage: Eukaryota; Viridiplantae; Streptophyta; Magnoliopsida; Solanales; Solanaceae
Description: long non-coding RNA (NBEN_LNC031586)
Source: RNAcentral
UUUGAAAAAAUCCUAGCCGUCCCCUUAAGUUCUCUGAAGAAUUUUUUUUUUCCUUUACACCCAAAACUCUAGCUGCCCUAAUCCCAUCACUAAUGUCACCUCCCUCAUUCUCACCUCUCAUUCUGACCUCCCUGGUCCAUUCACACACACAUUUGAAGAACAAACAAGCACAAAGAAGGAUCAUAAAACAAAUUUGAAGUUGAAAAGAUAAAAAAACAAGUGAAACAAAAGCUUCAAAAAUGGAUUAAGAGGGUUUUCUACAAGGAUUUCAGUUUCUGCUAUUUGAAGUACUUUCCUGGGACUCUCACGGUUUAGUUGGGGUUGAGGAUUACUCUAUUUCUGCUGUGACUUCGUUCACAAUUACUUUUGAAUUCCGUUACUGGUCCGUACGUAUGAG